GCUGCCCACUUCCCUUUAUUCUUUUCUUUUGUGCGAUCAAAAAGAGGAAUUUUUUAUCAUGAGAAAUUAGAUAGAGAUUUGAUUCACCAUAAAAAAUAAGUGGUUGGGGCAUCACAUAUUUUUUUUUGAUGUGGAAUUGGGAGAGGGGGCGACAACACAUCAAGAGUCCAACAUCUCUAGGACUCUUCCAACCCUAUCUUCUUUCACGCAAAAAUAAAGGGGUUUAUUUUUCUCUUUUGUAUGUGUAAGAGAGAGGAGGAAGAGGUCUUUAUGGUGAAGGUUUUUGGCAUGGUUCCU
RNAcentral lists this long non-coding RNA (297 nucleotides) under Elaeis guineensis (African oil palm). RNAcentral describes it as "long non-coding RNA (EGUI_LNC039860)". Lineage: Eukaryota; Viridiplantae; Streptophyta; Magnoliopsida; Arecales; Arecaceae. The record is from RNAcentral.